CUUGAGGGGCUUUCCACUCGUGUGGGGGAGGAGCAGGUGUGAACCGUGAGAAAGCUCAGCUGGCUCCUGGGGACGGAACCAGCCGAGCCUGGGGAGCCCAGGAUCUGUGUGCUGAGGCAGGCCUGCCAAGCUCUGAUGUGUUUAGACUUGAACUUGGAGGGGAGGUUGCACCGAGACAGCUCCUGAGAUCUGUUCCGCAGCGUGAGUGGGCUGGGGUGUUCUCGCUGAGCUAUUUCUGUAGAGAAAGCUGUCUGGAACCAUCUGAGAAGCCACUAACCACUGAGGCUCACUGAAACAUGCCUUCUAUCCACUCUUGCAUCAUCUUCCCUCCAUUUUAUGCCUGAGAGGACGCCUGUGUGUACAAGUCUAAGUCUGUGUGUGUUCCAGAGUUGUGUUGCCAUGGAGAAUUACUUGGAAGAGGCGUCUUAUGAGCCGCUUGAACUGAACAUAUAAAAAUGCAUCCCAAAAAUCAAAGCUCCUCUUCUAUAUGCACAGACACUGGAAGGAAUCGCAAGAAAAUUGGGACCAGUAGUUGCCUCUGGAGAAGGGAACUGGGGAGGGGACAGUGACACGAGGGAGAUGACUCUUCACUGUGUCCUGUUCAUUUUUUGGCCAUAAGCAUGUAAUACUUUUUUUUUUUACAAAAGUAUUUCAUUUUCACAAAAUGAAAAGAGAAGUUUAAAUGCCAAGGCUUCCCCUGGGAAAUAUUCCUAGACACAGAUAUCCCCCUUGAACCCACACUCAACUUCCCAGGAGGAAAUUGGGACUCUCCAAACAAUCACGGGCUGCCUUUGAAGAGGGAUCCACCUGGCUCCUUGGAUGUGUGCUCCAUAUUCUCAAGGGCACGAUGUUCACCCCCAUCCACGAGAAAGGACAAAGUAUGUCGAGAAGAGAUACUAUUCCGUUUCUAACGCAGGGUGGGUUAAAGAGUGAUCAAUGACGACUGCAAACGCAUUCUUUCAGGCAGCCUUGCAGACAAGAUGCAGCUGGUGGUGCAAGGAGCCUCGUGCUGGUUGCCGAAAGCUAAGCCCACACCCGUCGUCUUCCACCUGGGGUUGCUGCCAAUCCAACAGGACACGGCUCACCGCGUUGGACAGGGAAGCUUCCUACCCAGUCACGUAGAAGAAUAUUAAACGUUUUCAUAAUGUGUCCACACAUGUUUUGCUUCUCCAAGAGAUGACAGCUCAGACUUCAGAAACCGUGGUGACCUUAUUUUGUGACUUUGUGUUCUCUUUGCUGAGCCGAUGACCCACUUGCAAAGCAAAGGUGCAAAUUGCAAGUGAACAUCCCCAACAGCGGUUCCUUUUCUGUUUUUCACUCUGCUGGAAAUCUGUUGAAAUAAAGAGUGUCAACACAGCACCUCUCAGUGCGGGCUAACUGGAUUGAACUGGACAGCGUUCUAUUCAUUGGAAAUCAUUAGGCAAUUCAAGAGGGAAGAAAACGGAAGAGAAAAGAAAAACAUCGCCCCAUCACAAAAAUAACUUGAGAAUUGUGCAGUCUGCCAGCAUAUUGGAUAUUUGUGUUGAACUUGCUUUCAGUACUCGGCUAAAUUUACCACACCCUACCUCCAAAGCCCUUGCUCCCUUCCUUUUGAAUAGCAAAGUAAUGAGAACUAGAAAAGCUUUUGUGUCUUUGGCAAAGUUGAAUGUAACUGUUUCCACUAAAUCCUGCAAAGGUGAGGAUGCGAGAGGGAAAUCCACCAAUUCAUUUCGCUUUUGUUACCUGUUCAUGAAAAGCUACCUUCUGGGGGUGAGACCAUGUUUGAUACGAGAUGCUGCCUGAACUCAGUAUAUUUGGCUGACAAUAUAAUUUUAGUGAACAGAUUAUCAAAUUGCUCAAAUGCAUAUGGAACUACCAUGGACCUUCACGCCGUAAGAACGGUUUCCCAAAGCAAAUAAUUUUGCUGUUGUUGUUUUGGUUUGGUUUGAUUUUUUUGCAGAUGGAGCCACCUGGUCUCAAGUUUCCUCCUGAGAAAACUCGCUUCCCCAUUGAACACAAUGCGCAGGUGUUCCAGGGAACUUCAGUGUGGGAGACUUUUACUGACGGUCCGCUAGCUGUCACACACUUUUCUUGCAUCUUCAUGUCGUGUUGCACACAGCUCUGUCCGGCUGACAUCAACUUGGCUCCGCUGGGAAGAAGUCACUGCACAGGGAAGGGAGGGGCUGGCCAGGCUGCCCAGCUGAUGCAGAAUCCAUGGAUACGAAGGCCAGCUGGAGUGAUCACCAAAGGUUUCCUGCAGAUAAAAUGUUCAGAUAAUCAUUUCUCUUUGAGAAGCACUUUUGAUGUGUUAGAGAUGGCUCCCCAAACUUCCCAUUGCUUUACGGAGAACUUUCUGUGUAGGAUUUUAGCAUCAUUGAGCAGCUCAGGUAUUCAACUGCAAAAGGAGUGGAGAAAAUGAGAGCACAGGGCGUCACCCUCUGAGGCUGUUCUGACAAUAAGGUUUGUUUUCUUCACCAUAAUCAAGACAAGACAUGGCUUGUACCUUCCUAAGAAUGCCUGGCUCCAGGACCAAGCCAGGCACCCAGCUCUCCUGGGCCUGCUGGAGUCCCAACAGGUUUCCCCCCUCCCAGAGGCAUCCAGGAUUGACACACAUCUUAUGACUUGAGGCCCUGGGCUCAUCCUUUGUUAUAACAUCCUUUGUUUCCUCCUUGACAACAACAGAUACAACAAAUACGAAGACCAGUGAAGGUGCCCUUGCAGUCACUGAGGAAUUAGGGAGUCCCACUGUUAGAUAGUAGCUAGCAAUGAGCGAUGACCUGCAGGCAAGGUCACAGGUGUUCUUUAAAUUACUUUAGAGUCUUCUUUAAACUACUUCCAAAGUAAACAAGAAAGCAAAGUGUGAUAGUCAAUUUGUAGAAAAGAAACAGAAGCAAAAAGAGCUAAUUGGGAAAUAUGUCAAGAGAAAGGAUUCAUGGGACUAACUCUUGACAGGGUCCACUGGUGUUGACGUGAAGCUGGGAAUUAUGGCUAUAGGUGUCUCCAUUUGUCUGGGGAGGAAGAAUCCUCUCUCUCUCUCUCUCUCUCUCUCUCUCUCUCUCUCUCUCUCUCUCUCUGCUGGAACCUCUUGCAGCUAGGCACACUCUACCACUGGGCUACAUCCCCAGCCCCUCUCUUCAUUCUUGUAUCUCCAGCUUACAGCGUGGUGCUUGGCACACAGAGAUCUGAUAAAUAUUGGUUGGAUGAAUGAAUGAAUAAAUGAAUAAAUAAAAUUGUAAGAAUGAUCUUUGGCAACAGAUAGGUCCGCAACUUCAAGAGAUACACAGGACCUCUCCAAGCCUCAGGAGUCCAGCCCGGGGUGUAAAACGAGGAUGAGGACAAUACUCCCCUCAAGGUUGUUUUCAGACAUGAGAUGAGAGUGACCAACCCGACACGCGAACACACUUGACACUCGAACACACUUGGCAUCCGGCUCGUGGUACAAGCUCAAUGCAGCGGCAGUCUUAUUUCAGAGUUUCAUCUAUCUUCCUUGAUCACAAAUUCAGGAUCCAAAUAGAAGGAACUUCUAUCUUUUAUGUGUCUAGCACACUACAGUCUGGAAUUACAUAAUUAUUUGCUUUUAGUAUCUGUAGGCAUAUGCUUCGUGAUGAAAAAUGGGAUUUAGCUGUUAGGUAGAACUUGACGUAGGCAACACCAUUUUGAAACAUGUCCUUCAUCUUGGGAAAGAGUCACCUCACAGUCACUGACUCAGCCUGACCUAAACCCCAGACAUACUGCCUCACUCUGCAAAGAAACCCCAAACUCUCCAUCCAAAUUGUAGAAAGGAAAUUGUUAUCUGGGACUGAGGUCAUAAAAACACCUAGUUCCUUAUGAAGGUGACACCGCUGGGUCCUUAGGCCAAAGCAACUCCAUUUUGAAAAUCAGCACCCGGCCACCCAGACAUGGCUUUCCUAUUAGGACCCCAAAAGAGUCCCUAACUCCAGAAACCAUAGCAAAAACCUCACAGGACCAGACGGGUUCUUUUUAACCACUUCCAUUGUACUUGACUGUAUAAUUGAGAAGUUUUUUCCCAGCAGGCGGCUGCACCCUGCGGAAGGGCAGUCUAGCCAACAUUCUCUGUCAAUAAACCUUUGCUUGAACUCAGAGAUGUGUCUCUGGUGGAUAUUUGCGCCAGCCACCUUAAUAGCCAGCGCAAGGACACUUCCCUGACAGCCCCGUGGCCAUGGCCUCCUCCCCCUCCCCCACUCCCUAUGGUCUCGGUGUGCACUGGACCCCGCUCCACAGGUCUGUCCUGAAUAACCCUGAGUUGAGCUGUUUCUCCUUUUUCUUUAUUUCCUUCAUUUGCUUCUUUCCUUACAUUACACUUUCUAAAGUGGUUUAUCAGUAAUAAAGUGCUACCUUUUUUAUGAUUUUGUUUGGGUACUGGGGAGGGAGCUCCGUGGUAAAGUGCCUGCUGGGCUGCAUCCUCAGCUCUUUUCAUUUUUGAACUUUGAGACAGGGUCCUGCUAAAGUUUGGUAAAUUGUUGAGGCUUGCCUCUUAAAAUUUAUGAUCCUCCUACCUCAGCCUCUGGAGUUGCUGGGAUUAUAGGCGUGUACCACCAUGCUCAGCUGUAAUUUCAAUUUGUGUAUGGUUUGUGGAUUGAACCCAAAGCCCUGUGCUCGCUAAGCAUGCACCCUACCUGAUGUCACUCCCGGGCAUAACUCUAUCAGACCGACAGAGUGGAUAGGAAGAGGGUCUGAGGAGAAACCACGCGGGGGCUCAACUGCAUGGGGGCUCUGGGGCUUAUCGCAGAAAGCUAAGGGUUUGGGACAGGAAAAAGGAUUUUUAGAGUUCCUUGUCCCAGUGGAGUUGAUGGGGGAACUGGCUGAGAUCCAGGAUUGGCCAGGAGACCCUGCUGAUUGACAGGUGGUUCCCUCGAUGGUGCCCGUGCAGCUGCUUGGUGCUUUGUUCCUAAGUCACCGCCAGGGACCUGACACUUUCUUGUUGAAAAUUUGCUAAUUUCUUGACUGUAAACUACUGCUAUCCAACCAAGAAGGAUCUGAUAAACAAAUUCACAUCAAAAUGCUAAUGGAUGCUUUUUAUUUGGGUGGGCUAAAAUAAGGGUCUGGGUUUCACAGGCUUCAUUUAGGGUGGGACAGGAGGGUAGUUCCUAAGGUUCAUUGUACUGGGGUGAGCUGAUCCAUUAGCACCAACUGGAGAGUGGACCGUGACUUUCCUGAGGCUUAUUGUUUUGGGGCCACCUGGCCCAUGGGGAGUGGGGCCGGUGCCAGGCAGGCCCAAGUUCCUUGGUGCUCCUUCCUUCUGGCUGAGGCCUGGGGUUUUAAAUGACAAAAGCUUCAGUUUUAGCCCAGGGCAGGUGGGGUAACAGCCGCAGGAAAGGGAGGUGUUCUUGGGACUUAAUUCUCCAUAUCUUUCAGAUGAUACUUGUAUUUUUGUAGUGCUGGCACUGCCUAUAAUCCCCACAGUGCGGGAGGCUGAGGCAGGAGGAUUGGAGUUCAAAACCAGCCUCAGCAAUUUAGCGAGGUUCUAAGCAACUCAGUGAGACUCUGUCUCACCAUGAAAUACAAAACAGUGAGAAACUGAUGUGACUCCAUUUUUGAGAAACCAGCCUCUACCUCAGAGCAAAGCCUGUCCAAGGAAGAGCGCAUGACCCUUGUUCUUGGAAAGACCCACAGAGCACUCCUAGGCACAUACCCACCCUGCUAAGUUGUUUAUCUACAAAUAACAGGAGAGAUCUGCUGCACCAGGUGCCCCUGACUCAGUCAGGCUAGGUGGGGACCCAUAGCAACCCCCUAGCAGCCACCAAUCAGCAUGAGACAGGGAAAUACCUGGGAUGUCAGAUAACCCUCCCAGUAGUUUAUGGUGGUUGAUAACAUGUUGGGAAACCACGUAGUUCAGCACGUACUCACCUCGUGGCUUAAACCAAUCAGUUCAAACGAAUCCCCCUCUUGCACUGACCAAUCACCCCUACCCAACUUGUUCCCGCCAGUGAAUGUGCUAAUCAUGUUUUAGAGUUGUUAUUUUAUUUUCCCACAGUGUGUGAUGAUUUGCUAAGAGAUGCUAUGAUGUAAAUGAGGUCCCUGCCUUCCCCCAAAGAAUGUAUAAAACUGCUGCAAACCCUGGGCUCGGGCCUCUCAGCAUCACCAGUUGCUAUGUGUGCGUGUGGAGGACCGAGCUAGCUCGCAAUAAACACCUUUUUGCUGCUUA
Marmota monax (woodchuck) is the source of this 6145-nucleotide long non-coding RNA. RefSeq lists it as uncharacterized. The transcript is spliced from 2 exons. NCBI's taxonomy places the organism in Eukaryota, Metazoa, Chordata, Mammalia, Rodentia, Sciuridae. The record is from RefSeq and is a predicted model, not a curated record.